This 253-nucleotide ribosomal RNA is filed under the name uncultured bacterium. Its description in RNAcentral is "partial 16S ribosomal RNA". It matches the Rfam family "Bacterial small subunit ribosomal RNA", at positions 524 to 776 of the family's 1533-position model. The record is from RNAcentral.
UACGUAGGUGGCAAGCGUUGUUCGGAAUUACUGGGCGUAAAGGGCGCGUAGGCGGCCUACUAAGUCAGACGUGAAAUCCCCCGGCUUAACCUGGGAACUGCGUCUGAUACUGGAAGGCUUGAGUAUGGGAGAGGGAUGUAGAAUUCCAGGUGUAGCGGUGAAAUGCGUAGAUAUCUGGAGGAAUACCGGUGGCGAAGGCGGCAUCCUGGACCAUUACUGACGCUGAGGCGCGAAAGCUGGGGGAGCGAACAGG